CCUACGGGCAGCAGUGGGGAAUAUUGGACAAUGGGCGAAAGCCUGAUCCAGCCAUGCCGCGUGUGUGAAGAAGGCCUUCGGGUUGUAAAGCACUUUCAGUGGGGAAGAAAGCCUUGGGGCUAAUACCCUCGAGGAAGGACAUCACCCACAGAAGAAGCACCGGCUAACUCCGUGCCAGCAGCCGCGGUAAUACGGAGGGUGCGAGCGUUAAUCGGAAUUACUGGGCGUAAAGCGCGCGUAGGCGGUUUGAUAAGCCGGUUGUGAAAGCCCCGGGCUCAACCUGGGAACGGCAUCCGGAACUGUCAGGCUAGAGUGCAGGAGAGGAAGGUAGAAUUCCCGGUGUAGCGGUGAAAUGCGUAGAGAUCGGGAGGAAUACCAGUGGCGAAGGCGGCCUUCUGGACUGACACUGACGCUGAGGUGCGAAAGCGUGGGUAGCAAACAGGAUUAGAUACCCCAGUAGUC
RNAcentral lists this ribosomal RNA (462 nucleotides) under Vreelandella stevensii. RNAcentral's name for it is "partial 16S ribosomal RNA". It matches the Rfam family "Bacterial small subunit ribosomal RNA", at positions 338 to 795 of the family's 1533-position model. The record is from RNAcentral. Lineage: Bacteria; Pseudomonadati; Pseudomonadota; Gammaproteobacteria; Oceanospirillales; Halomonadaceae.